GACGAACGCUGGCGGCGUGCUUAACACAUGCAAGUCGAACGCUGAAGGCCUGGCUUUUGUUGGGUUGGAUGAGUGGCGAACGGGUGAGUAACACGUGAGUAACCUGCCCUCUUCUUUGGGAUAACGCCCGGAAACGGGUGCUAAUACUGGAUAUUCACUGAUCUUCGCAUGGGGGUUGGUGGAAAGGUUUGUUCUGGUGGGGGAUGGGCUCGCGGCCUAUCAGCUUGUUGGUGGGGUGAUGGCCUACCAAGGCUUUGACGGGUAGCCGGCCUGAGAGGGUGACAGGUCACAUUGGGACUGAGAUACGGCCCAGACUCCUGCGGGAGGCAGCAGUGGGGAAUAGUGCACAAUGGGCGAAAGCCUGAUGCAGCGACGCCGCGAGAGGGAUGGAGGCCUUCGGGUUGUAAACCUCUUUCGCUCAUGGUCAAGCCGCAACUGUGGGUUGUGGUGAGGGUAGUGGGUAAAGAAGCGCCGGCUAACUACGUG
RNAcentral lists this ribosomal RNA (486 nucleotides) under uncultured bacterium. RNAcentral describes it as "partial 16S ribosomal RNA". It matches the Rfam family "Bacterial small subunit ribosomal RNA", at positions 28 to 507 of the family's 1533-position model. The record is from RNAcentral.